This 640-nucleotide ribosomal RNA is filed under the name uncultured bacterium. Its description in RNAcentral is "bacterial SSU rRNA". It matches the Rfam family "Bacterial small subunit ribosomal RNA", at positions 28 to 643 of the family's 1533-position model. The record is from RNAcentral.
AGCGAACGUUAGCGGCGCGCUUAACACAUGCAAGUCGCACGAGAAAGGGUCUUCGGACCCCGGUAAAGUGGCGCACGGGUGCGUAACACGUAGGCAAUCUUCCCUCAGGAGGGGGAUAACUACCCGAAAGGGUAGCUAAUACCGCGUAAGACCACGGUCUCCACGGAGACAGCGGUCAAAGGUGGCCUCUGCAUGCAAGCUACCACCAGAGGACGAGCCUGCGGCCCAUCAGCUAGUUGGCAGGGUAAUGGCCUACCAAGGCGAAGACGGGUAGCCGGUCUGAGAGGAUGAUCGGCCACACUGGCACUGAAACACGGGGCCAGACUCCUACGGGAGGCAGCAGUGGGGAAUCUUGGACAAUGGGCGAAAGCCUGAUCCAGCGACGCCGCGUGGGUGAUGAAGGCCUUCGGGUUGUAAAGCCCUGUUGAAGGGAAAGAAAACGUUGGCGCGAAUAGCUCCCGACCUUGACGGUACCCUUCCAGAAAGCACCGGCUAACUCUGUGCCAGCAGCCGCGGUAAGACAGAGGGUGCAAACGUUGCUCGGAAUUACUGGGCGUAAAGCNCGUGUAGGCGGGGCCGAUAAGUCAGAUGUGAAAUCCCUGAGCUCAACUCAGGAACUGCAUUUGAAACUGCCGGUCUA